Molecule: ribosomal RNA, 589 nt
Filed under: uncultured fungus
Lineage: Eukaryota; Fungi
Description: eukaryotic LSU rRNA
Rfam family: Eukaryotic large subunit ribosomal RNA
Source: RNAcentral
AUAUCAAUAAGCGGAGGAAAAGAAACCAACAGGGAUUACCUCAGUAACGGCGAGUGAAGCGGUAACAGCUCAAAUUUGAAAUCUGGCCUCACGGUCCGAGUUGUAAUUUGUAGAGGAUGCUUCGAGCAUGGUCUGGCCUAAGUUCCUUGGAACAGGACGUCAUAGAGGGUGAGAAUCCCGUAUGCGGCCAGGUGCCUACGCUCAUGUGAAGCUCCUUCGACGAGUCGAGUUGUUUGGGAAUGCAGCUCAAAAUGGGUGGUAAAUUUCAUCUAAAGCUAAAUAUUGGCCAGAGACCGAUAGCGCACAAGUAGAGUGAUCGAAAGAUGAAAAGCACUUUGGAAAGAGAGUUAAACAGUACGUGAAAUUGUUGAAAGGGAAGCGCUUGCAACCAGACUUGCGCGCGGCCGAUCAUCCGGUGUUCUCACCGGUGCACUCGGCCGUGCUCAGGCCAGCAUCGGUUUUGGCGGCUGGAUAAAGGCCCUAGGAAUGUAGCUCCUCUCGGGGAGUGUUAUAGCCUAGGGUGCAAUGCAGCCUGCUGGGACCGAGGACCGCGCUUCGGCUAGGAUGCUGGCGUAAUGGUUGUAAGCGG